Oryza sativa Japonica Group (Japanese rice) is the source of this 210-nucleotide microRNA precursor. It matches the Rfam family "MIR812 microRNA precursor family". Lineage: Eukaryota; Viridiplantae; Streptophyta; Magnoliopsida; Poales; Poaceae. The record is from Rfam.
UCUAAACACAGUCUACUCCCUCCGUCGUGUCCAACUUUGACUGUCCGUCUUAUAUGAAAUUUUUUUAUAAUUUGUAUUUUCAUUAUUGUUAGAUGAUAAAGCAUGAUUAAUAUUUUAUGCUUGACUUAUCUUUUUAAUUUUUUUUCAUAAUUUUUUUAAACAAGACGGACGGUCAAAUAUUGAAGACGGAAACUAGGGUUUGUCCUUUUU